Molecule: long non-coding RNA, 726 nt
Organism: Prunus dulcis (almond)
Lineage: Eukaryota; Viridiplantae; Streptophyta; Magnoliopsida; Rosales; Rosaceae
Exons: 2
Source: RefSeq, a predicted model, not a curated record
UCUCUCUGAAUAAUCUCUGCCUUCUCAUAAUCCUCAAGAGGCAUGCAACAUGUAUAUCGAUCUUUCGCUCAUUUCUGUUCCCAAAUGGUGAUUUUUACCAGCAAGAAACCUGGCUUUUCCAAGUUGGUUAUGAAUGAGGACCAAGUCCCAACUCUCUCUCUUUAUACAGAAAAUGAUGGGGACGAUGAUGAUGACGACGAUGAUGGAGGAGAUGUGGCGCCAGCAGCGUAGUUAUCAUAGAUUCAUAGUGUUUAUGAAUAAGACUGGCUUAAGCUUUGAUACUUUCAUCAACUUGAGCUGAACAGAACAUUUGGCAAUAUAUAUAUAUAUAUAGUAAAGAAUCAGCUGCAUGUUAUGAAUUUAUAUUCAUAGGGCAACUAUUUUGUAACAUACCAUAAUAUUAGGUGUAUGCAUGCAAUUUAAAUAAGCAAAAGAUACCUCCGGUGUGCUUAUAUAGUCAUACGCACCAGAGCCCUCUGAGAAAAAAGAAGAAGAAGAAGAAGAGGAAGAAUUCAGGUGUCUGUGUUUUACGACUUUUGGUUGUCUGGGGUGCUCUUCCCCUUAUAUCAUCCUCAUCAUGAGUUGGACAGCUUCUUUUUAUUUUGCAAAGGGCCGGAAAGAGAAAAAUAUUACUUGUAUAUGAUUACUGAAAUCAUGUAUGGCAGCUGCUGCAAUAUUAAAUUUUAAUAAUAAUUAGUGAUAUCUACUUAUUCGGAGUACGUAAUA